UUGCUUUGGUAGCACAUAUACAAAAAUUGGAACGAUACAGAGAAGAUUAGCAUGGCUCCUGUGCAAAAAUUUAUGCACAUUUAUUUAUGACGAGGUCCAUAAACAA
This is a small nuclear RNA of Peromyscus leucopus (white-footed mouse), 106 nucleotides long. Lineage: Eukaryota; Metazoa; Chordata; Mammalia; Rodentia; Cricetidae. The record is from RefSeq and is a predicted model, not a curated record.